AUACGGAGGGGGCUAGCGUUGUUCGGAAUUACUGGGCGUAAAGCGCGCGUAGGCGGCCUGCCAAGUUGGGGGUGAAAGCCCGGGGCUCAACCCCGGAACUGCCCUCAAAACUGGCAAGCUAGAGACCGGGAGAGGUGAGUGGAAUUCCCAGUGUAGAGGUGAAAUUCGUAGAUAUUGGGAAGAACACCAGUGGCGAAGGCGGCUCUCUGGUCCGGUACUGACGCUAAGGUGCGAAAGCGUGGGGAGCAAACAGGAUUAGAAACCCCAGUAGUCC
This 274-nucleotide ribosomal RNA is filed under the name uncultured bacterium. Its description in RNAcentral is "partial 16S ribosomal RNA". It matches the Rfam family "Bacterial small subunit ribosomal RNA", at positions 523 to 796 of the family's 1533-position model. The record is from RNAcentral.